RNAcentral lists this long non-coding RNA (3552 nucleotides) under Brassica napus (rape). RNAcentral's name for it is "long non-coding RNA (BNAP_LNC003448)". The record is from RNAcentral. Lineage: Eukaryota; Viridiplantae; Streptophyta; Magnoliopsida; Brassicales; Brassicaceae.
AUCAACUGCACCCGCCUCGAGUUUCUGAAUGUGGAAAACAACAUGAUUAAUGACACGUUUCCAUUCUGGUUGAGACUUCUUACCAACCUACAAGUUCUUGUCCUUCGUUCUAACGAGUUCCAUGGGCCCAUAUCUUCUCCUGCAUUUUCUUUGAGUUUUCCCAAAUUGAGAAUCUUUGAUAUUUCGAAAAAUCGUUUCACUGGAGUUUUGCCAUCAUAUUACUUUGCUGGUUGGACUGCAAUGUCAUUGGUCAUAGACAUUGUAGAUAUUAUGCCGAGUAGGUUUGAGGGGCGUGACUCUGGGAACUUGUAUAACUCAGUGUCUAUGACGGCAAAAGGACUUGUGAUGGAGCUGGUUGGUAGUGGUUUCACAAUCUACAAAACUAUUGAUGUCUCUGGAAACAAACUCCAAGGAGAUAUUCCCGAAUCCAUCAGUUUACUCAAGGAGCUUAUUGUGCUCAACAUGUCAAACAACGCUUUUACAGGCCACAUUUCACCAUCUUUGGAGAACUUGACCAAUCUACAAUCAUUGGAUCUUUCUCAAAACCGAUUGUCUGGAGAAAUCCCACCAGAGCUUGGAAAGCUUACAUUUCUAGCGAGAAUGAACUUCUCUUACAACAUGCUUGAAGGUCCAAUACCACAAGGCACUCAAAUUCAAAGCCAGAGUAGUUCUUCUUUCGCAGAGAAUCCGAGGCUCUGUGGUGUCCCUCUCCAAGAAACAUGCGGCAGAGGAGACGAUGCAACGACUCAAGAGAAAGAAGAUGAAGAUGGAGAAAAGGAUCAAGUCUUGAGCUGGAUUGCAGCUGCAAUAGGCUAUGUACCUGGUGUGUUUUGUGGAGUCGUCAUCGGCCAUAUUCUCAGUUCAUAUAAACGUGACUGGUUCAUGAAAAUCUUUCACUCUUUUGCUUAAUAUAAGCAUCAGUUGCAUGAUGAUAUCUACUUAUAUUAUAAUCAUGUCCAUGCCGCUUUUUUUUAUACAUAAAUUAUAGUCUAAAACUUCAAAAUUUAAAUACAGUACUGACUAAUUUAGAGUUUAUAAUUUAUAAAAAAUGUUAAACAUAUAUAAAUAGAACUAUUAAUUUUUAAAGCUAUUUCAUUAUGCUUUAAAUAUAUCGUUAAUAUUUUUGAACAGGGUCCAAAAAAUAAUUGAGACGGCCCUGUCUAUCUCGAAAUGGAUUAUUUGGUAAUUAUAGACACAUGUUUGUUCUUUAACUAUUAUAUACAAUGGGCCUGCGCAUGUUAACUGUUUGGCCGAAAGGAGUGUGUAUGCAGAACUGAGGAAACUACUGUUUGACAUUUGACUCUGUUCGAGGUGUUAAAGUUAUAUAACAUAAUAUUGUGACUUCCCUUUUUCUGGUUGAUUAUGGAUUUUCCCUGAACAUUUUACGGAAUACCGGCGGCUUCGAAGAAAAUCUUCAGGCUACUUGUAUCGUCUGGGCAAUUUCUUAUUGUUACUUUUCGUGAGUGCUACCAUACUUUCUCUUAGUGGUACUUUUUCCAAGUGGAGACUACUUGGUCGAGCAUUCAUAUGGAAACUAAUAAUCUUAUUUUGCGGACAUAUCUUAUCUUGCUGGGCAUAUAAUUUUCAAUCUUCCAUUCUUUCACAGAAAACAAAAACAAAAAAAGAAAGAACAAAUAGACUUUAUGAUGCAUUCUUGUAUCCAAAGGAGGAGGAUGAUACGGAGCUUGUGUUUUAUCUUCUCUCUUUAUGCCUCCGUACUUGUUUUUGCUUCUCAUGCUGCGCACUUGUGCCGUCCAGACCAGAAAGAUGCUCUCUGGGAGUUCAAGAGCGAGUUCUACGUCGACGGGCUCCACUCUGAUGGUACGCCAGUUGAUAAGAAGACAGAGAGAUGGAAGAACAACAUUGAUUGCUGUUCUUGGGAUGGUAUCUCGUGUGAUCCUAAGACGGGUAAAGUCGUUGAGUUAGACCUCACGGACAGUUUUCUCAACGGCCCUCUGAGAUCUAAUAGUAGCCUCUUCAGACUACAACAUCUUCAUAUUCUGAAUCUUGGCUCCAAUAAUCUUUCAGGUAUUCUCCCAGAUUCCGUCAGCAACCUCAAAUAUUUGAGGGUUUUAAGUCUCGGUGGUUGCAGUUUCUAUGGACAGAUUCCUUCUUCACUCGGAAAUCUUUCUUAUCUCACUAAUCUUGAUCUUUCUCAUAAUGAAUUCAUCGGUGAACUACCUGAUUCAAUGGGUAACCUAAAGAAACUAACAGAUCUGGGACUUGACCAUAACAAGAUCAGUGGGAACUUUCCCCAUGUGCUACUCAAUAUGAGCGAGCUCACUCAGAUCGACAUUGGCUCUAACCAGUUCGAAGGUAUGCUCCCAUCUAACAUGAGUAGCCUCUCCAAACUGGUCUAUUUUGAUAUAAAUGAAAAUUCAUUUUAUGGAUCUAUUCCGCCAUCUCUCUUCAUGAUCCCUUCAUUGAUUCAACUUUACAUGGGAAGAAACAGCUUCAGUGGUCCUCUUGAGAUUGGGAAUAUCUCUUCACUAUCUCCACUUGGUUUUUUAGCACUUGGGGACAACAAUUUCAAUGGACCAAUCCCAAGAUUUAUAACAAAGCUAGUUGGCCUCUGGUACCUUGACCUCGCUUUAUGGAACACGGAGAAGGGAAAGGUUGAUUUCAGCAUCUUCUUGCACCUCAAGUCACUUACGUUCCUUGACCUCUCUUAUAUAAAUACAAGAAGCAGAGUUGACUUGAGUCUUUUCUCAGAUCUCAUGUCACUUGGUUAUCUGGAUCUUUCAGGGAUUAAUUUGAAGAUCAGUCCAACUCUCCACCUUCUCUCACCCAUAGAGAUCUUGACUUUAUCAUCUUGCAAUAUUGCUGAGUUUCCCAAAUUUCUAGAAACACAGACGAGUUUGUCAUAUUUAGACAUUUCUGCCAAUCAAAUCAAAGGUCAAGUACCAAAGUGGUUAUGGAGACUCCCGCUACUGAGGUAUGUAAACAUUUCUCAGAAUUCCUUCACUGGUUUUGAAGGAUCAGCGGACGUUAUUCAACGAAGUGAAAUUCUACUUCUUGAUAUAAGUUCAAACACAUUCCAAGGUCCAUUUCCUUUGUUACCAAACUCUACAAAGUUCUUUUUAGGCUCCAAUAAUCAUUUUUCAGGAGAGAUCCCUAAGACAAUAUGCAAGUUGGCUUCUCUUGAUACACUUGUUUUAUCUGAUAACAACUUCAAUGGUUCUAUUCCUCGGUGUUUUGAGAAUUUCAGUACCAAGCUUUCAGUCAUGCAUCUUCGGAACAACAGUCUAUCUGGUACUUUUCCGGAGGAAUCUAUCGGAGAUCACUUGAAAUCACUUGAUGUUGGUGACAACCGCUUAUCAGGAGUACUUCCCAAGUCUCUGAUCAACUGCACCCGCCUCGAGUUUCUGAAUGUGGAAAACAACAUGAUUAAUGACACGUUUCCAUUCUGGUUGAGACUUCUUACCAACCUACAAGUUCUUGUCCUUCGUUCUAACGAGUUCCAUGGGCCCAUAUCUUCUCCUGCAUUUUCUUUGAGUUUUCCCAAAUUGAGAAUCUUUGAUAUUUCGAAAAAUCGUUUCACUGGAGUUUUGC